GUGGGUAUAGCUCAGUGGUAGUAUGCUUGCUUAGCGUCCACAAGACCCUAGGUUCAAGCCCUAGCGUGCACA
Molecule: transfer RNA, 72 nt
Filed under: Mus musculus (house mouse)
Lineage: Eukaryota; Metazoa; Chordata; Mammalia; Rodentia; Muridae
Description: tRNA-Ala
Source: RNAcentral